This 30-nucleotide non-coding RNA is filed under the name Mus musculus (house mouse). The record is from RNAcentral. Lineage: Eukaryota; Metazoa; Chordata; Mammalia; Rodentia; Muridae.
UGCCCCAUGGGAGUGUUCUCACCCUUGAGC